Molecule: ribosomal RNA, 753 nt
Filed under: uncultured Achromobacter sp.
Lineage: Bacteria; Pseudomonadati; Pseudomonadota; Betaproteobacteria; Burkholderiales; Alcaligenaceae
Description: bacterial SSU rRNA
Rfam family: Bacterial small subunit ribosomal RNA
Source: RNAcentral
AUUGAACGCUAGCGGGAUGCCUUACACAUGCAAGUCGAACGGCAGCACGGACUUCGGUCUGGUGGCGAGUGGCGAACGGGUGAGUAAUGUAUCGGAACGUGCCUAGUAGCGGGGGAUAACUACGCGAAAGCGUAGCUAAUACCGCAUACGCCCUACGGGGGAGAGCAGGGGAUCGCAAGACCUUGCACUAUUAGAGCGGCCGAUAUCGGAUUAGCUAGUUGGUGGGGUAACGGCUCACCAAGGCGACGAUCCGUAGCUGGUUUGAGAGGACGACCAGCCACACUGGGACUGAGACACGGCCCAGACUCCUACGGGAGGCAGCAGUGGGGAAUUUUGGACAAUGGGGGAAACCCUGAUCCAGCCAUCCCGCGUGUGCGAUGAAGGCCUUCGGGUUGUAAAGCACUUUUGGCAGGAAAGAAACGUCAUGGGUUAAUACCCCGUGAAACUGACGGUACCUGCAGAAUAAGCACCGGCUAACUACGUGCCAGCAGCCGCGGUAAUACGUAGGGUGCAAGCGUUAAUCGGAAUUACUGGGCGUAAAGCGUGCGCAGGCGGUUCGGAAAGAAAGAUGUGAAAUCCCAGAGCUUAACUUUGGAACUGCAUUUUUAACUACCGAGCUAGAGUGUGUCAGAGGGAGGUGGAAUUCCGCGUGUAGCAGUGAAAUGCGUAGAUAUGCGGAGGAACACCGAUGGCGAAGGCAGCCUCCUGGGAUAACACUGACGCUCAUGCACGAAAGCGUGGGGAGCAAACAGG